AGCAUCCAUGGCAAUCUAAGGGUCUAUAUAUAGAGAUUGAAGGAGAAAUAAUGAAAACACACUCUAAUAUUUUCUAUACUCUAUAGCUACACUCUCUCAAGCUCUUACCAACGAAAUUAUCUUUCCCAUAAGCUCCUAAUCAAAGCCCAGCCACCACAAACAACAAAUCAGAAGCAUCAAAGGAUCAAAAUCAAGAAAUCAAAGCUAGAAAAGGUAAAAACCCUAAAUUCUAGAAAUCCUUCGAUUCGAUGUUAAUUGGUGCAAUUGAUUGUUUAAAGUAGUGUAAUAGGGAGUCUAUUAAUGUUCUGGGUUGUAAAAUCAUGAACCCAUAACAUCAAAGUGCACGAAUUUGAAGAUUUGAGCAAGUUNNN
This 371-nucleotide long non-coding RNA is filed under the name Panax ginseng (ginseng). RNAcentral's name for it is "long non-coding RNA (PGIN_LNC011808)". The record is from RNAcentral. Lineage: Eukaryota; Viridiplantae; Streptophyta; Magnoliopsida; Apiales; Araliaceae.